Molecule: transfer RNA, 67 nt
Filed under: Marmota monax (woodchuck)
Lineage: Eukaryota; Metazoa; Chordata; Mammalia; Rodentia; Sciuridae
Description: tRNA.Glu
Rfam family: tRNA
About the family: Transfer RNA (tRNA) molecules are approximately 80 nucleotides in length. Their secondary structure includes four short double-helical elements and three loops (D, anti-codon, and T loops). Further hydrogen bonds mediate the characteristic L-shaped molecular structure. tRNAs have two regions of fundamental functional importance: the anti-codon, which is responsible for specific mRNA codon recognition, and the 3' end, to which the tRNAs corresponding amino acid is attached (by aminoacyl-tRNA synthetases). tRNAs cope with the degeneracy of the genetic code in two manners: having more than one tRNA (with a specific anti-codon) for a particular amino acid; and 'wobble' base-pairing, i.e. permitting non-standard base-pairing at the 3rd anti-codon position.
Source: RNAcentral
GGUUGUAGCUCAGCGGUAGAGUGCUUGCCUCUCAUGUCUGAGUCCCUGGGUUCGAUCCCCAGCACCA